Syngnathus typhle (broad-nosed pipefish) is the source of this 337-nucleotide long non-coding RNA. RefSeq lists it as uncharacterized. NCBI's taxonomy places the organism in Eukaryota, Metazoa, Chordata, Actinopteri, Syngnathiformes, Syngnathidae. The record is from RefSeq and is a predicted model, not a curated record. The transcript has 2 exons.
GCGCGCCAAUGACUCGUCCAGGUAUCCCAUUAUGUCUGGGAAAGAGGGCCGUAGCGUGGGGUCCAUCUGGAAGAAAUUUGCCAGUAAAUCCCUGAAAUGAUCUCCUUUCGUCUUUUCGUGACAAAUCUAUAAAGACAAGCAGACGGCGUGGAGACGGACUUACAUUGCAGCAGUUGAACGCCAGCUGAAGGAAGUCGGGCGGACAGUCGCCAACCAUGUGCUGGAAGGUGUGAUAGUCCAGGCCGAAGUUCUGCUCAAUUACACAAAGAAAGUGUGUGAAAUUGUUUCAUUCAUUUCUAGACAUAAAACAAUAAAUAAACAUUUUGGAUGAAAAAUA